This 74-nucleotide transfer RNA is filed under the name Nanobdellota archaeon. RNAcentral describes it as "tRNA-Lys". It matches the Rfam family "tRNA". Rfam says of the family: Transfer RNA (tRNA) molecules are approximately 80 nucleotides in length. Their secondary structure includes four short double-helical elements and three loops (D, anti-codon, and T loops). The record is from RNAcentral. Lineage: Archaea; Nanobdellati; Nanobdellota.
GGCUCCGUAGCUCAGCUUGGUAGAGCACUGGACUCUUAAUCCAGGUGUCGGGGGUUCAAAUCCCCUCGGGGCCA